AAGGGCAUCUCCAUCAAGGAGAAA
This 24-nucleotide non-coding RNA is filed under the name Arabidopsis thaliana (thale cress). The record is from RNAcentral. Lineage: Eukaryota; Viridiplantae; Streptophyta; Magnoliopsida; Brassicales; Brassicaceae.